Long non-coding RNA from Austrofundulus limnaeus, 656 nucleotides. RefSeq lists it as uncharacterized. The record is from RefSeq and is a predicted model, not a curated record. The transcript is spliced from 4 exons. Lineage: Eukaryota; Metazoa; Chordata; Actinopteri; Cyprinodontiformes; Rivulidae.
AUAUGCUUGAAAAUGUUUAAAAACCUUUUUCUUUGGAUCUUGUGCAUCUGUGAAGCAGUAUCAUAUUUCUCUAGAUUUAGCAUAUUUAAAUUAAGUCCGCCUAUUAUCCAUGCAUGGAUGCUUCAUUUCACUAGACUAUAGGAUGCCUUCAUGCCUCCUUGUUUUCUUCCAUUCUCAGGCUGAUAAAAUCCAGAAAGCAAUAAAACAUCAGCUGAAGGAACUGCAGGGGCAGGAGUCAGGAUCAUGUUAAAGUGCAAGAAGAGGAUAAAAACCAAGUGUGUGAGGACAAUGUUCAGGCUGAGGAAGAUGCUGUUUGCAAAGAAGCAGCUUCUAACGUUGACAUGUUUGUAACAACAUGUCGAGGGAAAGAAAAUGCCAUCAAAAGAAAACUCAACAAUCCUGCAGCAGACUGUGAUGCAAAGAUGACCCCAAAGGGUGAUGAAAAGGUUGAUGCACAAAGCAAGCCCUGCAGUGCACAAAGAAAGAAGGAAAAAGCUGUCCUCUGACAAGGAAUCUGAAAAAACUGGAUUUGAGGCCCAAGAAAGUGGAUGUGACCAACAGCAUGAAGCACCUGCAGGAAAGGGACCAAAAGUGUUGAAAGGUGGCAGAACCCCUCGCUACCAAAGGCUCCAGCAGAAGAACAAGACUAAUACACC